GAUGGGCGUGCGGCUGAUUAGGUAGUUGGCGGGGUGACGGCCCACCAAGCCUACGAUCAGUAGCUGAUGUGAAAGCAUGAUCAGCCACACGGGCACUGAGACACGGGCCCGACUCCUACGGGAGGCAGCAGUAAGGAAUAUUGGUCAAUGGACGAAAGUCUGAACCAGCCAUGCCGCGUGGAGGAUGAAGGUCCUCUGGAUUGUAAACUUCUUUUAUAGGGGACGAAAAAAGGAAAUUCUUUUCCGUCUGACGGUACCCUAUGAAUAAGCACCGGCUAACUCCGUGCCAGCAGCCGCGGUAAUACGGAGGGUGCAAGCGUUAUCCGGAUUCACUGGGUUUAAAGGGUGCGUAGGCGGGCAGGUAAGUCAGUGGUGAAAUCUUCGAGCUUAACUCGGAAACUGCCUUUGAUACUAUCUGUCUUGAAUAUUGUGGAGGUAAGCGGAAUAUGUCAUGUAGCGGUGAAAUGCUUAGAUAUGACAUAG
This 483-nucleotide ribosomal RNA is filed under the name uncultured Bacteroidota bacterium. Its description in RNAcentral is "bacterial SSU rRNA". It matches the Rfam family "Bacterial small subunit ribosomal RNA", at positions 224 to 704 of the family's 1533-position model. Lineage: Bacteria; Pseudomonadati; Bacteroidota. The record is from RNAcentral.